This is a long non-coding RNA of Mus musculus (house mouse), 485 nucleotides long. RefSeq annotates it as predicted gene, 31083. NCBI's taxonomy places the organism in Eukaryota, Metazoa, Chordata, Mammalia, Rodentia, Muridae. The transcript has 3 exons. The record is from RefSeq and is a predicted model, not a curated record.
GCUGUUUAACUAGACGUAAGGCCUGCUCAAUAUGGGAGAAUUCAUGCCUGGGACUAUAUGUAACCAACUCCACAUGGAAGGAGGGGCAGAGAUCCUAGAGCAGAAACACACUUCUGCCAUUUUCCUAAGUCCGAAUGACUUCUAACUGGAUUUUAAAUAUUUAUCUUUCUACCCAAUGCUACCAUCUGUCUCUUCUGGAGAUAGCCACCCAGUAUCAGCAGACUCUACCCUUCCCAGACACUGAGGUGUUGUGGUCAAGGCAGCACUACAAUCAGCUAUUCCAGACCUUGUCAUAAAGGGCCAUCCAAAACUUAUCCUUGUAGAACACAGCUCCAAAACUGCAUAGACAACACACUCCUUGCUGAUAUCUGCUCUGCUUUCUGUGACAAAAAGAAUCACUAAUGCCCAUCUCCUCACUGGAUUACUUCAAAUACUGUAGGAAAGACUGGAAGAGGUAUGGUUCCUGGCCUUUAAAGUUAUGGUUU